RNAcentral lists this long non-coding RNA (1670 nucleotides) under Homo sapiens (human). Its description in RNAcentral is "non-protein coding lnc-ATXN7-15:1". The record is from RNAcentral. Lineage: Eukaryota; Metazoa; Chordata; Mammalia; Primates; Hominidae.
GAUUUGUAAAUUUCCACUGGUGCAAACUUGGACAAGAUACUCAAUAUCUCUGAGGCUUAUUUUUUAAUUUAUGAUUUAAAAAGCAUAACAAUACAUACCUUAAAAUAUAGUUGUAAAGUAUUAACUGCUCAGCAUACUUUGUGUUAAACAAUUCCAUUAUAACAGAGUCACUCUAGUGGUGCUCAAGCAACCACAAAGGAGAAUAAGAAACAGUCAUACAAGAAAGCAUGUUUUCUAAAUAAUAUCCUUAAAUCCUGAAUAAUUUGUUUGGGCUUUUCUAUAUUAGCCCCUUUAAAACACUUUUAAAUCUAUUACACUUUCAAAUUCAUUCACCAUGAAUUGUGCCCUCUUCAACCAUUAUUGAACUCAUCCAAAAAGGGGUUUGUUGAAGGUGCUUUUCAAAAUUCAAUACUCAUUUCAGGUAAACGUUUAUUUUUUAAAACAAUUUUUAAUUAAGUAAAAUUAAAUACUCCAAAGUUUUUACUAUUUAAUUUCUGUUUAAAUAAAAAUAAGAAAUCAGGUGGUUAUAAAACAAGAGAGAAAUACAUGAAUGGAACUAGUUGAUUUAAUUUAGCGUUGUGCAAAUAAAACAACCAUAUGAAAAAAACAGCAAGGAAAUCAUGGCCUAACACAGUUCCCUAGGGAAAAGAAGCAGAAUAGACAAUGGAAAUGUAUACCAUUCAUUCAUUUUUUCAUUCAUUAAAUCAGUUCUGAAUACUUAGUAAAAGGCCCAGGGCUAGGAUCAAAACCAAAAUAAAUAGCUUUCGUUGUUGAUUUUGAAUUUCCAUCUUGCCAGGUACAGCCUUGACUCAUUGUUGAAAGUAGUUGUAGAGCCAGCAGGUUGGAUGCCAAGGAGAAGAGAAGAGGUGUGCUUUAUGUAUGGGUUCCAUGGAGCUCCACUGGCACAAUCAGUUAGUGCACGGUCCUUACAUGUAUGGAUUCUCUGCAAUUUGCUACAAGAAAAACAAAUAAUUACUGCAUCAAAAUUUCCACAUUGAGUUUACCUGCCUAUGUCCAAGCCAACGGCAAGAGAAAUGCCAUUCAGAAAAAGUUCUCCAUCCAGUAGCAUCAUUGAUCAACUCACCAAAAUAGUAAUAAUACUAAUGAUGACCACGAUGAUGAUUGUGAUGGUGAUGUUAUGAGUCUUUACCUAGUAUUUAAAAGCAAUGCACAUGUAUUUACCUGUGUUAUCUCUUUCUCCCUGGCAAAAACCUCAGGGUAGGAAGACUAUUAUAAUCUCCAUUUUGUAGACAAGGAAACUGAAGAUAGGAUAGGUUAAGGAAUUUGUUCAAGGUCACACCAGUAUAAGUGGAAGGAUAAGACCUAAAAGUAUUUUUUCUAUGGUGUUGCUCCCAUUUUAAAAUUAAAUUGCUUUUGGCUCCAAAAUAAAUAUCCCAAUUUGUAGAUUUUUAAAAUUCUAUAUCCUUAUUUGCUCUACCAAAGGACUCUUUGAUGGUCAUAAUAAUCGCUACAAAUCAGGGUUAAAACUACAUUUCUCCCCCCAGCGUACCCCCUUUUCUGAUCUACUCAGCAAAGCAGCUCAGUUUUCAUCCUAGAAAACUAGCCUUCCCCAACACCUCUCCUGGCAGGGAAGCCCCAUCUGAUAGACCCUAGAGAGAGAGAGAAAUCCAGAGGCAGCAGGUUGGUGCUAUUUGGUAGUAGUAGUGGUG